GAUGAACGCUGGCGGCGUGCCUAAUACAUGCAAGUCGAGCGAACGGACGAGAAGCUUGCUUCCCUGAUGUUAGCGGCGGACGGGUGAGUAACACGUGGAUAACCUACCUAUAAGACUGGGAUAACUUCGGGAAACCGGAGCUAAUACCGGAUGAUAUUUUGAACCGCAUGGUUCAAAAGUGAAAGACGGUCUUGCUGUCACUUAUAGAUGGAUCCGCGCUGCAUUAGCUAGUUGGUAAGGUAACGGCUUACCAAGGCAACGAUGCAUAGCCGACCUGAGAGGGUGAUCGGCCACACUGGAACUGAGACACGGUCCAGACUCCUACGGGAGGCAGCAGUAGGGUAUCUUCCGCAAUGGGCGAAAGCCUGACGGAGCAACGCCGCGUGAGUGAUGAAGGUCUUCGGAUCGUAAAACUCUGUUAUUAGGGAAGAACAUAUGUGUAAGUAACUGUGCACAUCUUGACGGUACCUAAUCAGAAAGCCACGGCUAACUACGUG
Molecule: ribosomal RNA, 497 nt
Filed under: uncultured bacterium
Lineage: Bacteria
Description: partial 16S ribosomal RNA
Rfam family: Bacterial small subunit ribosomal RNA
Source: RNAcentral